Long non-coding RNA from Macrobrachium nipponense, 420 nucleotides. RefSeq lists it as uncharacterized. The record is from RefSeq and is a predicted model, not a curated record. The transcript has 3 exons. NCBI's taxonomy places the organism in Eukaryota, Metazoa, Arthropoda, Malacostraca, Decapoda, Palaemonidae.
UAUUUCUUCAAAUUAUUCUGGAUGGGAAUUUGUACUGAACCAGUGGCAUUGGGGAAACAUUGUGGUAAAGGGCCUCUGGGGACAGUCGUUCUUCGAGUUAUAUAAGAAAACUUUUUCUUUCUCAUUUGAUCAGGACAUUCCACUUCCAAAUAUCAACAUAAUACUGGAUUUUGAAGAUUACAAGAACUUUGUUAUAAAGUUUACCUGUCCAACUUUGGCCUCGUCAGUUGUCAGUACCACACACAUCAGGUUUCCUGUGGUGACAUUUAAAGUAAUUGAACAAGAUGAGUUUUGGCAAGAAGAAAGCAUAAGAUUAUUUUCUGUUUACUUUGUAUAUGAUGAAGACAUAUUGGCCAUAUCAUGGGACAUUAAUGAGUCAAGAUUGAAAGAAAUCUAUAGAGGAAUUAUGGAUGUGCUCUA